GCUCCCUUUCUUACUCAUUGUUCCAAGAAACCGAGAGAGAGGCUCUGUUUUUUGGCCAGAAAACCAGAGGUCGCUCGCUUGAGGGAGUCGAAGGUGAGAUCAGAAGGUGGGGUUUGGCUUUGCUUGCAGAGGUUGAGGACAGAUGGAAGGUUUAUGAAAGCCUAGUUGGGCAGCGUCUAUAUGCGAGACGGACCAGGCUUAGGCUCCGAUCUUGAACGGUAAAAGGAGGCCGGCGAAAGGCUUCAGAUUCGCAAGAGAAGUCCGGUCGAAGGCCACUGAUUUGUUGCUUGUAUUCCUAGACAAAGAAAGCAAUCUGGUUUGUUUCUUGUUUGAGACGGGCCGAAGAAGCCGAGAAAUUGGAACCGGUUAGCGUCUCCCCAAAAGCGUGUGUCCCAGCCCUCAGUUGUUUUGUUCUUUUUAUGUAUUGAAGCAGCAGUUGUUCCCACGAAAGAGGGCCACUUCGACGACGUGGGUAGCGAUUUCACAAGCAUGCUCAUGAUGCCGGAUAAAAAAAAAUGAAUAGGCAGAUUAGCAGGAAUGAAUAUGAGAAGACUCAUCACCUCUUUGAGUGAAUCUAGCAGAAACUGAUGACAAGAACUCAUCAUCUUUGCAGUGACGUUCAAUUCCUCUCCCUAAGAACAUGCAAGCUGUUCCAUGCGAAAUUUGAUCGGCCUCAACCGUGUACUCGAAACUUGAACGAAAGCAGAUGUGGCCAUGAAGUUCUGCAGCUAUCAAUCAUUCUCAUGCUACAGAUUCUUGGACCAGCAUUGUGUAGUACAACUUCAUAAAAACUCUCUCUUAUUGCCUAAAGAAGUAGAUAAUUUAUAAAUUAAAGCAGCUGUACUUAUAAAAAUGAGAAAAAAAAUAAACAGAUAUUAAAUGUGGUGUUGGUAGUUGGCGUUUGAUGAUAUAUAUAAGUGUACAGUUUCGUUGGAUGCAAGGUAUCAGAUCUGGCUAAGUAGCCCGUAGCAAGCCCCAAGUCCAAAGUGUCAUUAUCCAUACAGAUCUCUGAUGAAGACCUGACAUUACUCUUCAGCGUCAGUGUCCUCUUGAAUUGGACCACUGCACCAACCAGACUCCAUCUUGCUUAAUAGUUUUCCUUUUUUUUUUUUUUGUUCCUGUUUGAUAAGUAUUAUUUCUUGUGAUUAAUUAAGCAGCUGCUGGCCUGGUACCAAAAACAAAGGGAAAAGAAAGGAAGGAAAACUCGCGGUGAGGUUACCAUGUAAUGAUAUUUCUGUCUCAUUCGUUCCUAUCUUGCAUGGUAAAGCAGAUUGAGACAAGAUGCUUGCAAGACUAAGAGAUAUUAUAUUACAGGAAACAAAAUUCUUAAUGAAUGGAGUGUUUAAUAUUAA
This is a long non-coding RNA of Dendrobium catenatum, 1352 nucleotides long. RefSeq lists it as uncharacterized. The transcript has 2 exons. NCBI's taxonomy places the organism in Eukaryota, Viridiplantae, Streptophyta, Magnoliopsida, Asparagales, Orchidaceae. The record is from RefSeq and is a predicted model, not a curated record.